GCCCCGGUAGCUCAGUUGGAUAGAGCACCCGCCUUCUAAGCGGGUGGUCGGCGGUUCGAGUCCGCCCCGGGGUG
RNAcentral lists this transfer RNA (74 nucleotides) under Phycisphaera sp. RNAcentral describes it as "tRNA-Arg". It matches the Rfam family "tRNA". Rfam says of the family: Transfer RNA (tRNA) molecules are approximately 80 nucleotides in length. Their secondary structure includes four short double-helical elements and three loops (D, anti-codon, and T loops). Further hydrogen bonds mediate the characteristic L-shaped molecular structure. tRNAs have two regions of fundamental functional importance: the anti-codon, which is responsible for specific mRNA codon recognition, and the 3' end, to which the tRNAs corresponding amino acid is attached (by aminoacyl-tRNA synthetases). tRNAs cope with the degeneracy of the genetic code in two manners: having more than one tRNA (with a specific anti-codon) for a particular amino acid; and 'wobble' base-pairing, i.e. permitting non-standard base-pairing at the 3rd anti-codon position. The record is from RNAcentral. Lineage: Bacteria; Pseudomonadati; Planctomycetota; Phycisphaerae; Phycisphaerales; Phycisphaeraceae.